UACAGAGGUCUCAAGCGUUGUUCGGAUUCAUUGGGCGUAAAGGGUGCGUAGGCGGCGCGGUAAGUCGGGUGUGAAAUCUUGGAGCUUAACUCCGAAACUGCAUUCGAUACUGCCGUGCUUGAGGACUGGAGAGGAGACUGGAAUUUACGGUGUAGCGGUGAAAUGCGUAGAGAUCCGGAGGAACCCCAGAGGCGAAGGCGGCGCCCUGGCUCGUACCUGACGCUCAGACACGACAGCAUGGGGAGCGAACGGG
Molecule: ribosomal RNA, 253 nt
Filed under: uncultured bacterium
Lineage: Bacteria
Description: partial 16S ribosomal RNA
Rfam family: Bacterial small subunit ribosomal RNA
Source: RNAcentral